UUCCCUUUCUCUUCCCUCUCUCAACACAAUAUUCCCUCUUUUGCUUUCCUCUCAAAUCAGCAACAAUCAGAUAUUUUGUACCUUUUGGCUCGUGGGUGUGUAGAGAUCUUGUUGUCUCUUUUAUGUAUGUAGUAGAAGCUCUAAUUUGUACUCAACAAUGGCUACAAUCACCUUCUAAAGAAUACAAUUUUCACGACAGUUUAGAAGAAGUCCAGAACAUCGAGCAAGUUGAUAAAGAGUAUCGAGACUCACCUUUGAACAUUAAUUAGCCAGUUUCGUUCAGGAUGCACUAUAUGUGUGAGAAUUGGUA
Molecule: long non-coding RNA, 310 nt
Organism: Solanum dulcamara
Lineage: Eukaryota; Viridiplantae; Streptophyta; Magnoliopsida; Solanales; Solanaceae
Exons: 3
Source: RefSeq, a predicted model, not a curated record